This 207-nucleotide ribosomal RNA is filed under the name uncultured bacterium. Its description in RNAcentral is "partial 16S ribosomal RNA". It matches the Rfam family "Bacterial small subunit ribosomal RNA", at positions 568 to 774 of the family's 1533-position model. The record is from RNAcentral.
CGCGCAGGCGGUCUUGUCCGUCAGGUGUGAAAGCUCGGGGCUCAACCCCGGAAGUGCACUUGAAACAGCAAGACUUGAAUACGGGAGAGGAGAGAGGAAUUCCUGGUGUAGAGGUGAAAUUCGUAGAUAUCAGGAGGAACACCGAUGGCGAAGACAUCUCUCUGGACCGAUAUUGACGCUGAGGCGCGAAGGCGUGGGUAGCGAACG